RNAcentral lists this ribosomal RNA (497 nucleotides) under uncultured bacterium. Its description in RNAcentral is "partial 16S ribosomal RNA". It matches the Rfam family "Bacterial small subunit ribosomal RNA", at positions 28 to 507 of the family's 1533-position model. The record is from RNAcentral.
GAUGAACGCUGGCGGCGUGCCUAAUACAUGCAAGUCGAGCGAACAGACGAGGAGCUUGCUCCUCUGACGUUAGCGGCGGACGGGUGAGUAACACGUGGAUAACCUACCUAUAAGACUGAGAUAACUUCGGGAAACCGGAGCUAAUACCGGAUAAUAUAUUGAACCGCAUGGUUCAAUAGUGAAAGACGGUUUUGCUGUCACUUAUAGAUGGAUCCGCGCCGCAUUAGCUAGUUGGUAAGGUAACGGCUUACCAAGGCAACGAUGCGUAGCCGACCUGAGAGGGGGUCCGGCCAACCGGGAACUGAGACACGGUCCAGACUCCUAGGGGAGGCACCAGAAGGGAAUCUUCCGCAAUGGGGGAAAGCCUGACGGAGCAACGCCGCGUGAGUGAUGAAGUUCUUCGGAUCGUAAAACUCUGUUAUUAGGGAAGAACAAAUGUGUAAGUAACUAUGCACGUCUUGACGGUACCUAAUCAGAAAGCCACGGCUAACUACGUG